This 1034-nucleotide ribosomal RNA is filed under the name uncultured bacterium. Its description in RNAcentral is "bacterial SSU rRNA". It matches the Rfam family "Bacterial small subunit ribosomal RNA", at positions 8 to 1007 of the family's 1533-position model. The record is from RNAcentral.
AGAGUUUGAUCCUGGCUCAGGACGAACGCUGGCGGCGUGCCUAAUACAUGCAAGUCGAGCGCGGGAAGCGAACGGAACUCUUCGGAGGGAAGUUCGUGGAACGAGCGGCGGACGGGUGAGUAACACGUAGGCAACCUGCCUGUAAGACUGGGAUAACUCGCGGAAACGCGAGCUAAUACCGGAUAACACUUUCUAUCACCUGAUGGAAAGUUGAAAGGCGGCUUUUGCUGUCACUUACAGAUGGGCCUGCGGCGCAUUAGCUAGUUGGUGAGGUAACGGCUCACCAAGGCGACGAUGCGUAGCCGACCUGAGAGGGUGAUCGGCCACACUGGGACUGAGACACGGCCCAGACUCCUACGGGAGGCAGCAGUAGGGAAUCUUCCGCAAUGGACGAAAGUCUGACGGAGCAACGCCGCGUGAGUGAUGAAGGUUUUCGGAUCGUAAAACUCUGUUGUCAGGGAAGAACAAGUACGAUAGUAACUGAUCGUACCUUGACGGUACCUGACCAGAAAGCCACGGCUAACUACGUGCCAGCAGCCGCGGUAAUACGUAGGUGGCAAGCGUUGUCCGGGAAUUAUUGGGCGUAAAGCGCUCGCAGGCGGUUCUUUAAGUCUGAUGUGAAAUCUUGCGGCUCAACCGCAAACGUGCAUUGGAAACUGGAGGACUUGAGUGCAGAAGAGGAGAGUGGAAUUCCACGUGUAGCGGUGAAAUGCGUAGAGAUGUGGAGGAACACCAGUGGCGAAGGCGACUCUCUGGUCUGUAACUGACGCUGAGGAGCGAAAGCGUGGGGAGCGAACAGGAUUAGAUACCCUGGUAGUCCACGCCGUAAACGAUGAGUGCUAGGUGUUAGGGGGUUUCCGCCCCUUUAGUGCUGAAGUUAAACGCAUUAAGCACUCCGCCUGGGGAGUACGGCCGCAAGGCUGAAACUCAAAAGAAUUGACGGGGACCCGCACAAGCGGUGGAGCAUGUGGUUUAAUUCGAAGCAACGCGAAGAACCUUACCAGGUCUUGACAUCCUUUGACCGCUCUAGAGAU